ACGAUCGGUAGCUGGUCCGACAGCAUGACCAUUCACACUGGAACUGAGACGCAGCUCCCACUCCUACGGGAGGCAGCAAUGGGGAGUAUUGGACAAUGGGGGCAACCCUGAUCCAGCAAUGCCGCGUGUGUGAAGAAGGCCUGAGGGUUGUAAAGCACUUUCAGUGGGGAGGAGGGUUGGUAGGUUGAUAGCUAGAUGCUUGGACGUUACCCACAUAAGAUGAACCGGCUAACUCCUAUGCCAGCAGCCGCGGUAAUACGGAGGGUGCAAGCGUUAAUCGGAAUUACUGGGCGUAAAGCGUGCGUAGGUGGUUGAUUAAGUUAUCUGUGAAAUCCCUGGGCUUAACCUGGGCAGGUCAGAUGAUACUGGUUAACUCGAGUAUGGGAGAGGGUAGUGGAAUUUCCGGUGUAGCGGUGAAAUGCGUAUAGAUCGCAAGGAACACCAGUGGCGAAGGAGGCUACCUGGCCUAUUACUGACACUGAGGCACGAAAGCGUGGGGAGCAAACAGGAUUAGAUAACAUGGUAGUCCACGCUGUAGACGAUCUCAACUAGCUGUUGCAUAUAUGAAUAUAUUUAGUGGCGCAACACACGCGAUAACUUGCUCGCCUGGGGAGUACGGUCGUAAGAUUAAAACUCUCAGGAUUUGAGGGGGGCGCGCACAAGCAGUGGAGCAUGUGGUUAUUUCGAUGAAGCGCGAAGAAACUAACCUACCAUUGAAAUACACCUGAUUUUUUAGAGAUGCGUUACUGACUUCUGGAACAUUGUUACAGUGGUGGCUUGCUGUCGUCAGCUCGUGUCAUAAUAGAUAGUUUAAGUCCCGCAACCACCGAAAACAUUGCAGUAGUUGUCUGCUCGCAAGGGUGGGA
This 866-nucleotide ribosomal RNA is filed under the name uncultured Legionella sp. RNAcentral describes it as "bacterial SSU rRNA". It matches the Rfam family "Bacterial small subunit ribosomal RNA", at positions 276 to 1136 of the family's 1533-position model. The record is from RNAcentral. Lineage: Bacteria; Pseudomonadati; Pseudomonadota; Gammaproteobacteria; Legionellales; Legionellaceae.